Molecule: long non-coding RNA, 206 nt
Filed under: Elaeis guineensis (African oil palm)
Lineage: Eukaryota; Viridiplantae; Streptophyta; Magnoliopsida; Arecales; Arecaceae
Description: long non-coding RNA (EGUI_LNC015081)
Source: RNAcentral
AAGGUUAUAAUUAUUCAAGAUUAUGACCUUAGUAAUAUUUGAACUUGAGGCUAUGAUCAUAAGAAACAUGAUAGAUAUAAAAAAAAUUUAAUAAUUAGAUUUCGAAUCAAUAGAUACGAUGAUGAAAUUUAUGCAUAAGUGACAUAUAAUGUCCAUAAUAAAAUUGACGAGUUAUAUCUUGGAUUUCAAUUAGUAAGAUUGACCUA